CUUGGAUUAUCACAUUCUUGUUUUAGAGAAGUAAGGAAGGGUUUAACUAUUCGUCAAAUGAGGUGGUACAUGAUCUGGGUUCAUUCUAUCUACUCACAUUUUUUUAAUAAGUUUCUUAUUAUAUAUAUUUUUAGUAUAAGAGGAUUAAUAGAUUCAAUCUAUAAUCUAAUCAUUAUAUAACUAUUAAGUAUUGAUUUUUUUAUAAAUACUAAAUUAUAAUUAUAACCUAUUCUUUUUCUUAUUAUUUUCAUUAGAUUAUGUUUGAUAUUAAAUAUCAUUAUAGUGAUAUAUUUUUAUUAUUUUGAUUAUACAUUACUUGUAUCAUUUUUAUUAGACAUUAUUUUUAUGAUCUUCCAAGUAAGUAGAAAUCUUUAUAUUAUG
RNAcentral lists this ribosomal RNA (381 nucleotides) under Moramonas marocensis. Its description in RNAcentral is "large subunit ribosomal RNA". The record is from RNAcentral. Lineage: Eukaryota; Jakobea; Jakobida; Moramonadidae.